Molecule: unclassified non-coding RNA, 226 nt
Filed under: uncultured fungus
Lineage: Eukaryota; Fungi
Description: sequence contains ITS1, 5.8S rRNA gene
Rfam family: 5.8S ribosomal RNA (bases 178-226)
Source: RNAcentral
UCUCCGUAGGUGAACCUGCGGAGGGAUCAUUACUGAGUGAGGGCUUCGGUCCGACCUCCAACCCUUUGUGAACCAAACUUGUUGCUUCGGGGGCGACCCUGCCGCUACGGCGGUGCGGCGCCCCCGGAGGCCAUUAAACACUGCACCAUUGCGUCGGAGUUAAAGUAAAUUAAGCAAAACUAUCAACAACGGAUCUCUUGGUUCCAGCAUCGAUGAAGAACGCAGC